Bos taurus (domestic cattle) is the source of this 2300-nucleotide long non-coding RNA. NCBI's taxonomy places the organism in Eukaryota, Metazoa, Chordata, Mammalia, Artiodactyla, Bovidae. The record is from Ensembl.
GUGGAUUCUUCACCACUGAGCCACCUGAGAAGCCCAGGUAAGAAAAUGAUGGUGUUAUAAUUUAGAGAUUCAACGAUGGAUCAGCUUUCUCCAUCUGCCAGCUGGUAUUGGGGUCAGGGUGUAUUAAAUAGGAAGAUUAAAUGUUUUCGUAUUGGGGGUGAUACCCAAAAAACUUCCUGUUUGCACCCUAAUGGGCUACCCCCAAAUAAGAGGGUUGCAGAAAGUGAGAAUACCUGACAGUUUCCAAAGGGGGAUGACAAGAUCUUGGACACUACUCUCAAAGGCACAUUGUCCGAAAAGAAGAAUUAUGGGGCCUAAAGGCAUGGGGAGAAGCUCUGCUCUUCUACUCAUGGUUAUGACAGUGACCCAAACCAGCAAGAGAUAGUUAUAGAAGAUGGACCUUCACCCCUAAUUGCCCCUCAAGAAGGAAGAAUAAGACACAGGGCCAAGGAAGGAUUAAAACUCAUUAUCAGGUCCUGGGAAAUAGAAUCUGAUAAUAAAAUCGAAUCGUUUUUUCCUUUGUGCUUAGUUUCACUUGAUCGAAGGGUACUGCGUGCAGCGGCCUUCUACCCAGCAAUUCAGAUGAGAGUUCCUAGUGUGAAGCGGCUGCACCUGAUACUUGAGCUUGGCGUAGGUCUUGCAGAAGCUCUGCGCAUGACACCAGGGAUCGGCAGACCAAUGCGCGCCCAGCACGGUGAUCUGAGGCUUGAGCAGUGACACAGACGCUCACGCACACGCACACGCACACGCACACGCGCACACCCUCAGACGCACAAGAGCUCCGCCCCUUUCCGCUGACAGAAACAUAAAACCUUGCGUUUGGCUAUUACCUGUGUUCUUUCCUGAGGAGCCUGGGGUCUCGCACCUCUCCAUUCUUUGAUGAAGAACGAAACUUUCCUUCACUUCCGAACCGAACUCGGCCUGGUACUAUGGGCGACUGUGAGAAGUGGGGACCCCUACACCCUGUUUCUUCCUUCAGGAGUCUACAAAUUCUAACCACAUCCUCACUGAAGAUACAACUGGGAAAGAGCUGCUCUGUCUAGAAACCUAUCUUCGUUCAUUUGUUGGUACUGCUUCAUGCAGGUGGCAUAAGAUGGUAAAGAAUCCACCUGCGAUGCAAGAGAUGUGGGUUUGAUCGCUGAGUUGGAAAGAUCCCCUGGACCAGGAAAUGGCAACCCACCCCAGUAUUCUUGCCUGGGAAAUCCCAUGGACAGAGGGGCCUGGUGGGGUACAGUCCCUGGGGUCACAAAAGACUCAGACAUGACUGAGCAUGCACAUGCAACAGAUUUUACCUGUCUUCCACCCAGCCUCACUUAAGACCCUAAGGUCAUUAAUCCAGGCUACCCACUGGAGAAAGGCACCGUUACCCUGUGGCCUGUCGUUACACUGCCUCUCCAGAUUUCGGCAUGGCCAUGUGGACUGAGGGUGGACUGGCAGGAUGCAGGCCCCAGUGCCGAAAUCAUAGGCAAGGGUGGUGGUAAUUCAGAGUGCCCUUACUGCUUGUAUUUUGCUUAGUGGUCAUGAUCUCCAUUGUUUUGUGCCUAUUAAACAUCUUAUGCUUUGUCCAGAGUCUUAGUGGCAGGAAUUUGUUUUUAGACUGGGCAAUAAUGUUGGUCUCACUGAAAAAUGGGCCUGAUUGCUGGGUCUACAGUGAAAUGCCAUUGUCGUCCUCCAUGGGGCUUCCCUGAAAAAUUGACCCAGUAAGUGCCUGGCUUACUUUUUGUACUCUUGAGCUGUCUUUGGGUUUCCCACAUGGCAGUAGUGUAAAGAACCCACCUGCCAGUGCAGAAGACAUAAGAGAUGUGGGUUUGAUCCCUGGGUCAGAAAGAUCUUCUUGAGAAGGUCAUGGCAACUGACUACAGUAUUCUUGCUGGUAGAGUCCCAUGGACAGAGGAGUCUGGUGGGCUGUGGUCCAUAGGGUCACAGAGUCGGACACUACUGAAGUGAUUUAGCAUGCACACACGCCUGAGUUACUAUUAUCUGUAUUGCAUUUGUGGUGUCUGGUUGCAGUGUACCUUUACAUACCUGAACGCAGGGAUAUUUUGGAAGAGGGGUGGACCAGGAUUGUAAGAAUCGUGCAGGGAACGUAGUGGUGGAGUGUAUGGUCAGGCCACUCCAGAUAUUGUUCUCUUGCUCUCUCUACAUGCCCUGCUCCACCAGUCCCUGUUUCACCUAUACCCCCUCACAUGAACAUGCUUGCCCUCUGCCCCAGCUCGUGAUUGCUCAAAUCCUUUGGGCAGAAUGGCUCCAUCUGCUAGUUUAUUAGAGGGAAUCAUCAGCCUUUGUGAUGGUCAUUAAUC